Molecule: unclassified non-coding RNA, 352 nt
Filed under: soil metagenome
Description: partial contains 5.8S ribosomal RNA, internal transcribed spacer 2, and large subunit ribosomal RNA
Rfam family: 5.8S ribosomal RNA (bases 1-120)
Source: RNAcentral
GAUGAAGAACGUAGCGAAAUGCGAUAAGUAAUGUGAAUUGCAGAAUUCAGUGAAUCAUCGAAUCUUUGAACGCACAUUGCGCCCGCCAGUAUUCUGGCGGGCAUGCCUGUUCGAGCGUCAUUACAACCCUCAGGCCCCCGGGCCUGGUGUUGGGGAUCGGCGGAGCCCCCCGUGGGCACACGCCGUCCCCCAAAUGCAGUGGCGGUCCCGCCGCAGCUUCCAUCGCGUAGUAGCUAACACCUCGCGACUGGAGAGCGGCGCGGCCACGCCGUAAAACACCCAACUCUUCUGAAGUUGACCUCGAAUCAGGUAGGAAUACCCGCUGAACUUAAGCAUAUCAAUAAGCGGAGGA